AUUGAACGCUGGCGGCAUGCUUUACACAUGCAAGUCGAACGGCAGCGCGGGCUUCGGCCUGGCGGCGAGUGGCGAACGGGUGAGUAAUACAUCGGGACGUGCCCAGUAGUGGGGGAUAGCUCGGCGAAAGCCGGAUUAAUACCGCAUACGACCUGAGGGUGAAAGCGGGGGAUCUUCGGACCUCGCGCUAUUGGAGCGGCCGAUGGCAGAUUAGCUAGUUGGUGGGGUAAAGGCCUACCAAGGCGACGAUCUGUAGCUGGUCUGAGAGGACGACCAGCCACACUGGGACUGAGACACGGCCCAGACUCCUACGGGAGGCAGCAGUGGGGAAUUUUGGACAAUGGGCGAAAGCCUGAUCCAGCAAUGCCGCGUGUGUGAUGAAGGCCCUCGGGUUGUAAAGCACUUUUGGCGGGAACGAAAAGGACUGUGCCAAUACCACGGUUCGAUGACGGUACCCGCAGAAUAAGCACCGGCUAACUACGUG
RNAcentral lists this ribosomal RNA (484 nucleotides) under uncultured bacterium. RNAcentral's name for it is "partial 16S ribosomal RNA". It matches the Rfam family "Bacterial small subunit ribosomal RNA", at positions 29 to 507 of the family's 1533-position model. The record is from RNAcentral.